Cebus imitator (Panamanian white-faced capuchin) is the source of this 70-nucleotide microRNA precursor. The record is from Ensembl. NCBI's taxonomy places the organism in Eukaryota, Metazoa, Chordata, Mammalia, Primates, Cebidae.
AGUAGAGACGGGGUUUCACCAUGUUGGUCAGGCUGGUCUCAAACUCCUGACUUCAGGUGAUCCAUCCACC